Rattus norvegicus (Norway rat) is the source of this 879-nucleotide long non-coding RNA. RefSeq annotates it as ATPase family, AAA domain containing 3A, opposite strand. Lineage: Eukaryota; Metazoa; Chordata; Mammalia; Rodentia; Muridae. The transcript has 2 exons. The record is from RefSeq and is marked validated.
GCCAUUGGCAUCGGAGGCGCGAUUUGUCCAGCAGUCUAAGGAGGCGGAACUGGACGGAACUCCUGGACCAAGAGACUAGGAACAAAGUUUUCGCGGCAUUAAUGGAGACGCCCCAGCCACAGAGGCCAGGGAAGAUCAGAGACACUGGACUCACACCUCGGAGGGUCGGAACUCUUCUGCUGUGAGUCCCACCUAAGGAGCAGGAGAGGAAGGGAACACCUGAAGGAGAUGGUGGGGCUCCCGGAGCUAAUCUCUUCCGGACUCGCGUUGCCUCAGGUCAUGGCAUUCAAGGGCGGGGUAACGGGGUGAGGCCGCUAGCCCGGCGCCCCAAGACUGCCCGCCUGACCCUGCUGUGACCCCACGCUUUCUCUGAGCCGAAUUCUUGCAAAUCUGUAGGCGUCUCUACGUCUCUAGGCCAGUGGUUCCUACAGCCAAGCGUGAAUAAGAGUAAGAGAGAAUAACGGCAGAGACUUAGACGCAGUUGGCAAGCAGUCCUGCAGGCUUCUGCUACUAUUGCUCAGGCGGUAUCCUGAGCCCCUUCCUCUUUGGUGUUUUGGCAACCCACUGUGGCCAUUGGCAUGCUGCUUCGCAGUACAAGCCAGAAAGCCAAGCAGACUCCCAAAGCCUGCAGAGGGCACACUACACUGAGCUACUUAGAGUGAGGGCUGGUGCUCCAGGCUUGUGGUUGUUAGCCAGUAAGCGCUCCUUGGGAACCUGCUGAGCCAGGUGCCUGCUCUGAACCUAGGGGCUGGUUGACCUAACCUUUGGGCGAGAGGAAGCAAGCAUGGACAGAGGCAGUUGUCACUAGGGAACCCACAUUCCUCAAAGUCAGCGUCUUGGUUCCGGGCAUCUUUCAUUAAACUGGUUGAGUCCACAAAA